Molecule: long non-coding RNA, 2116 nt
Organism: Apis florea (little honeybee)
Lineage: Eukaryota; Metazoa; Arthropoda; Insecta; Hymenoptera; Apidae
Source: RefSeq, a predicted model, not a curated record
AGAAACCAUGUCUAAUGGGCAAAAAUUUCUUCCUCAAAAUUAAUACUUCAACCGAUAAGCAUGACUCUGUAAAUGGGAAAAUCUUGUAUGUAUAUACAGGUAAAAGAGACAGUAAUUCUUUGAUGAAAUAGAUUUCUGCCAAGUACAUUUCUACGUAUCUCGAGUUGCGAUAAAGAUUCUCAUUAACAAUGAUGAUAAAUAUUACAGAAAAAAUGAUGAAAGAAAGGAUUAAAUUUGAAAUUUUAACAUAGAAAAGCCUUGAUGCUAUUUUUGAUAAUAAUCUAUUAAUUAUUUAAGAUAGAAUUUACCAUACUGAUAGAGAUGAGAACUUGUUGCUUUUCAAUUUGCUCACGUGAGAAAUAAGAAUUCUAGGUUUGUUUGUUAAAUAUUGAAAUAGAUAAGCAUGAUAAUGAAUGUGUGCAAUUUUAAUCAAAUAAAGUCUAAUCGCUAUACGAUUAUGCAAUAAGUCAAUAAGGCGCGAUGAACGAGCUUAUAGAAAUUUACGAAGUAAAAUGUACAAUUGGACACGUUCCAGAAAACGUGAAAGCAGGAAAUCAUAUAUCAAUAAAAGUGAAAAAACUAUUAUGGAACAAUAGAAUUUCCUCUAAAGGAAAGAAGAUUAUUACAAUCUAUCAAUACUAAUAACAAAAUUCUAAUAAUUUCCACAAUCUAAGUUCCUUAACCUUUGAAGAAAAAGAAUAUUUGCAAAACAAGAAAAAAAUUUUUCCUCGCUUCAUGGAAAUCAUUUUUCAAAGGAACGAUUUUAUGCACUGAAGAAAAUAUCUGUCACUAGCAACGACCUUAUCAGUCAACUGCUUAUCAUCGACCUCACGUAGUUGAAGACAGGUUUAUGACUUGACUGCUGGAAUCGCGAACAAGUGUAUCUCCGUUACCUCAAACGGUUCCUCUUUUCUUAAUACCUCUUUUUGACGUAGACACUUUCUUGUUUUGAGAAAACUAAGACAAAGCAGAAUAUUUGCAAAAUAUAUGCGAAAAGAGACACGAUUUUCCGAACGUGAUGUAACUAUAUAUUGUCUUGUAAUCGCGAAAGAAGAUUCGAGACACGUGUGAAGAGAACAAACAGCAUUGAUUCAACUUCAGAGAAAUUUCUUUAACGUCGACACGAUGUCGAAUUGACAGCUGAUGAAUUAUUCCUUCAGAUUCUUUUGAGAGUUCUAGAAAACAUUUUUUGUUACAAAAUGACUUGAAAAUGAAUGAUCUUUUAAUCUAAAAAACGAAAAUUUUUGAAAGAAAGUUUAUUUAUUUUGAUAUAUAAUAAUAUUUAAGAUACAAAAUUUAUAAACUAUGCUUCAUGAUUAUGUUUAAUUAUGAGUGAAAGGAUUAAGGAAAUCUUUUAUGUCUUAAUAGAAACUUUACGUUAAACCAUCAUAUCUAAACAAAUGGAUAACUUAGUAACACCUUCGCCAGACAGAUUUCUCGUCAAAUAAUAAUGAUAUCUUUUGAAACAACAACUUUCAUCAACGACAACUUUCACAUCGACAAAUAUAGAAUUCCAUUUCAUAGGAUCGAAUUCAGUUCGAAUUUUGAUACGAAGCCUAUCAAAACCUGAAUAGAUUUGUGAUAAAACGAUUUAUCUUGUUAUAAAAGUAUAUCUAAAAUCGAGAGAAAUAUCGUUUCUCGAAAACAGCAAUAUCAUUAGAUCCUAAACGCUCGUUAACCUAGCUAUCGAAACCGAUUUUAACGCUUCUGAAAUAAAUGAUUAUGCAUGCAAAUCGCACGAUCCUGCGAUUACCACUCGUUACGCCGAGUUGUUCCAUCGGGAAUGACACGAUAUCGGCGGUACAAUCACGGCCAAAUUGCCUUUGAACGAUAAUGCUCGGAGAAAUGACACCGAUCUCGGUGUAUUCGUGAAAAAAAGUAACGAUUUGCGAAGAUCAAGGUAUCCAAAGGCCAAAACGAAAUUUGGCUCGAUCCUUGGUUAAUUCUGGAUAGUGAUGGGCACAAGUACAUUGCAAGUAAUAUGGUCUUUCAUGAGUAAUGAUAAAAAUGAAUCUUUUUUAUUUGAAAAUCAAAUUGGAUAACCUCUUAUGAGUAAAUAGUAAUUGAAUGAAAUGAAUAAAAUAAAUGAAAUUAAUUUUUUAUAUUGAAAAUGAAA